RNAcentral lists this ribosomal RNA (502 nucleotides) under uncultured bacterium. Its description in RNAcentral is "SSU rRNA". It matches the Rfam family "Bacterial small subunit ribosomal RNA", at positions 26 to 513 of the family's 1533-position model. The record is from RNAcentral.
AGAACGAACGCUGGCGGCGUGGAUAAGACAUGCAAGUCGAACGCGACUUAUCGUGAUAGCAAUAUCGUGGUAAGUUGAGUGGCGAAAGGGUGCGUAACACGUGGGAAUUUACCAAGAAGUGGGGAAUAGCUCGACGAAAGUCGAAUUAAUACCGCAUGUGAUCGAAAGAUCAAAGUCGGGGACCGCAAGGCCUGACGCUUUUUGAGAAGCCCGCGGCCCCAUCAGCUAGUUGGCGAGGUAAAAGCUCACCAAGGCUAUGACGGGUAGCUGGUCUGAGAGGACGACCAGCCACACUGGAACUGAGACACGGUCCAGACACCUACGGGUGGCAGCAGUCGAGAAUUUUUUCACAAUGGACGAAAGUCUGAUGGAGCGACGCCGCGUGGAGGAUGAAGGUUUUCGGAUUGUAAACUCCUGUCACUGCAGAACAAGGUACGUUAUGAAUAGUAGACGUAUUCGAUGGUAUGCGGAGGAGGAAGGGACGGCGUAACUCGUGUGCCGA